UAUAAAAUUUUAAACUGGUACGAAAAGUCAAUAGGGUCCAUUUUUGAGGUACAAAAAUUCAAAAUUUCCUUUUAUUUAAUGGACUUAUUACUCAUACAUAUUUAAUGUUUAUCCCUACCUUCUAAAAAGGGGAGAAUACUCUUAUAAAUAGUGUCAUGACAUAUAUAUUCCUGAAAAUGUUUAUUUACCAUUAUACCCUUACCAUUAUACCCCCCAUUAAUAUUGACUGCUUAUCUCCCUGACUCUCUGUGCGUUAUCCCUGAAUCCCUAAUGACUUGAUGUGAUUUACUAAUGAUUUUCCUCUUUCUUCCUCGUAAUUCAUAUGAUUCCCUUUCUCCAUUGAAGUGCCUACCGAGUUUUCUCUCCUCCAUUGAAGCGCUGACCGAGCGUCCUCUCAUUUAUAGAAGUAGUUUCAGCGGUGAGGUAAUUGUUUGUGGCUUUGCUGAAUCAUGCCCAAGCUUCAAGCUUGUUAUUCACUUCAUCCGAUCGACAUAUCUCGACUGCCGAAGGCCCAAAGCUCUAUUAACCCAGAAUGUUUAAAGCUUAAGAGAUGAGUUGGUUAAGAUUAAGGAUGAUUCUGAUGUCUUUUUUGCUUUUGCUAAUGUCUUUUUUUUGUUAAGGUUAAUCUUUUAUCUAUUGUCUUUUUUGCUUGUGCUAAUUUUGACUUCAAACUUGGUAAAGAACUUUUUAGGUGUGAUUUGGGUUAAAUCUAUGUGGGUUUUUUUUUUUUUUUUAAUUUUUUUUUUAAUUAUAAUUUAUUUAGAUUAAACUUUGCAAUUGUAAUUGUUUUUGGAUGGAUUGUUUUAAUUGUUUGUUAUAAAAGAAUAUCACAAGAAACUAUUUUUGGGUA
Molecule: long non-coding RNA, 850 nt
Organism: Chenopodium quinoa (quinoa)
Lineage: Eukaryota; Viridiplantae; Streptophyta; Magnoliopsida; Caryophyllales; Amaranthaceae
Exons: 2
Source: RefSeq, a predicted model, not a curated record